This is a long non-coding RNA of Oncorhynchus tshawytscha (Chinook salmon), 371 nucleotides long. The record is from Ensembl. NCBI's taxonomy places the organism in Eukaryota, Metazoa, Chordata, Actinopteri, Salmoniformes, Salmonidae.
GGGGUAUCUAGGUUAGUCAGACUAAUGUUGGGGGUAUCUAGGUUAGUCAGACUAACGUUGGGGCUAUCUAGGUUAGUCAGACUAAUGUUAGGUGUAUCUAGGUUAGUCAGACUAAUGUUAGAUGUAUCUAGGUUAGUCAGACUAAUGUUGGGGGUAUCUAGCUUAGUCAGACUAACGUUGGGGGUAUCUAGGUUAGUCAGACUAAUGUUAGGUGUAUCUAGGUUAGUCAGACUAAUGUUGGGGGUAUCUAGGUUAGUCAGACUAAUGUUAGGGGUAUCUAGGUUAGUCAGACUAAUGUUAGGUGUAUCUAGGUUAGUCAGACUAAUGUUAGGGGUAUCUAGGUUAGUCAGACUAAUGUUGGGGGUAUCUAG